GACGAACGCUGGCGGCGUGCUUAACACAUGCAAGUCGAACGGAAAGGCCCUGCUUUUGUGGGGUGCUCGAGUGGCGAACGGGUGCGUAACACGUGAGUAACCUGCCCUUGACUUUGGGAUAACUUCAGGAAACUGGGGCUAAUACCGGAUAGGAGAUCCUGCUGCAUGGAGGGGGGUGGAAAGUUUCGGCGGUUGGGGAUGGACUCGCGGCUUAUCAGCUUGUUGGUGGGGUAGUGGCUUACCAAGGCAUUGGCGGGUAGCCGGCCUGGGAGGGUGACCGGCCACAUUGGUACUGAGAUACGGCCCAGAGUCCUACGGGAGGCAGCAGUGGGGAAUAUUGCACAGUGGGCGGAAGCCUGAUGCAGCAACGCCGCGUUCGGGAUGACGGCCUUCUGGUUGUAAACCGCUUUCGCCUGUGACGAAGCGGGAGUGACGGUAAUGGGUAAAGAAGCACCGGCUAACUACGUG
This 468-nucleotide ribosomal RNA is filed under the name uncultured bacterium. RNAcentral describes it as "partial 16S ribosomal RNA". It matches the Rfam family "Bacterial small subunit ribosomal RNA", at positions 28 to 507 of the family's 1533-position model. The record is from RNAcentral.